Molecule: ribosomal RNA, 492 nt
Filed under: uncultured bacterium
Lineage: Bacteria
Description: partial 16S ribosomal RNA
Rfam family: Bacterial small subunit ribosomal RNA
Source: RNAcentral
AGUGAACGCUGGCGGUAGGCCUAACACAUGCAAGUCGAACGGCAGCACAGUAAGAGCUUGCUCUUACGGGUGGCGAGUGGCGGACGGGUGAGGAAUACAUCGGAAUCUACUUUUUCGUGGGUGAUAACGUAGGGAAACUUACGCUAAUACCUCAUACGACCUACGGGUGAAAGCAGGGGAUCUUCGGACCUUGCGCGAUUGAAUGAGCCGAUGUCGGAUUAGCUAGUUGGCGGGGUAAAGGCACACCAAGGCGACGAUCCGUAGCUGGUCUGAGAGGAUGAUCAGCCACACUGGAACUGAGACACGGUCCAGACUCCUACGGGAGGCAGCAGUGGGGAAUAUUGGACAAAGGGCGCAAGCCUGAUGCAGCAAUACCGCGUGAGUGAAGAAGGCCUUCGGGUUGUAAAGCCCUUUUGUUGGGAAAGAAAAGCAGCAGGCUAAUACCCCGCUGUUCUGACGGUACCCAAAGAAUAAGCACCGGCUAACUUCGUG